GACGAACGCUGGCGGCGUGCUUAACACAUGCCAGUCGAACGGAAAGGCCCUGCUUUUGUGGGGUGCUCGAGUGGCGAACGGGUGAGUAACACGUGAGUAACCUGCCCUUGACUUUGGGAUAACUUCAGGAAACUGGGGCUAAUACCGGAUAGGAGCUCCUGCUGCAUGGUGGGGGUUGGAAAGUUUCGGCGGUUGGGGAUGGACUCGCGGCUUAUCAGCUUGGUGGGGGGGUAGUGGCUUACAAAGGGUUUGAAGGGUAGCCGGCCUGAGAGGGUGACCGGCCACAUUGGGACUGAGAGACGGCCCAGAAUCCUACGGGAGGCAGCAGUGGGGAAUAUUGCACAGUGGGCGGAAGCCUGAGGCAGCAACGCCGGGUGCGGGAUGCCGGCCUUCGGGUUGUAAACCGCUUUCGCCUGUGACGAAGCGUGAGUGACGGUAAUGGGUAAAGAAGCACCGGCUAACUACGUG
RNAcentral lists this ribosomal RNA (468 nucleotides) under uncultured bacterium. Its description in RNAcentral is "partial 16S ribosomal RNA". It matches the Rfam family "Bacterial small subunit ribosomal RNA", at positions 28 to 507 of the family's 1533-position model. The record is from RNAcentral.